CCCCCUGACCAAGACACUCGGCUUCGCCCAUCUACCCUCUGCUGCCAAGAUGGCGAAGCGUGGUGAGGAGGGUCUCUCUCUUCUUUACUCGGUUCCUGUUUCAUUUAUUUCCGUUUCUGUAAAUUUUGUGUGUAGCUAUAGCGAAGGCUUUGCAGAAAUAUAGCGGCAAUGUUCUUUCUGCUUUUGCGUGAGAUCUCAUUUCUAGAUGUAGUGGUUUUGUCACUUGAUACACUGACUAUUAUGGUCGCUUAUCUUGUGCUAGAAAGAGACGGUUUUCUUGUAAAUGGAUCGUUCACAUGAGGUUCCAGUUGUUUAGGGAUGCAAGAUUAUUGCCACUCCUUUAAUUUGGUAAUUAUGAUGCACAGGACGGAGAGGCUCCGUGCGAAAUAAUUUCCGCAUGUUGCUGGGUCUUCUGGUUCUCUGUGAAAGGGAUCAAGAGCUGGCAGAACGUCUCUCCUCUUAUUGUGUCGGGGUACGGUGAUGGCCGCCGUUAAGAAGGAUUAGCCAGACCUGAGGGACAAGGCUAUGCUUGCCCUCACCCUGAGGCAGUGGAAGCGGCGGUUCCGAGGGUAUCAACUUCAUUUAUGAUUCAUUCCUUACUUCUUUAUAAUCAUCAUUGAUUUAUCCACUUAUACUUUUAAAUUUUUUCUGGCUUUUAUACCUUCGCACACAAUUCAAGCAACAGGUUUCAUUAUUCU
This 698-nucleotide long non-coding RNA is filed under the name Musa acuminata (dwarf banana). RNAcentral's name for it is "long non-coding RNA (MACU_LNC002729)". The record is from RNAcentral. Lineage: Eukaryota; Viridiplantae; Streptophyta; Magnoliopsida; Zingiberales; Musaceae.